Molecule: ribosomal RNA, 927 nt
Filed under: Triticum aestivum (bread wheat)
Lineage: Eukaryota; Viridiplantae; Streptophyta; Magnoliopsida; Poales; Poaceae
Description: partial small subunit ribosomal RNA
Source: RNAcentral
AUGAAAAAAAACAAGAACAGACUAAUAUACGCGCGCUUACAGAUCGAAAAGAAAUCCUUUUCCAUGCCCUUGUUGGCGAUAGGAAAUGGGACUUGUACAUCUUUGCAUAUGGGAUCAAAGGGAUGCGAGCGUGCUGAUGUCCAUCGGGUAGGCGUCGUUGGGCGACUGGGCGCGGUAGGACCUCCGGCCGACGAUGAUGUUGGCCGCCUCCGACGGGUGGAAGGCGUCCCAGAAGAUGUGCUGGUCCCUGUUGGCGCAGGGCGCCUGGUACGGCAGGCACGUCACCUCCCCGUUGUUCCGGCCCACGCCGCAGCACCCGGCGGUGGACUCCGUGAACCCGUAGGCGGCGGCGUUGGCCAGGAUGUCGUUGAAGAUGUUGUAGGCGUUGAUGUAGGUGAAGUGCGCGCCGGGGAGGGUGUUCAUCUGGUCGACGAGACCGACCAGCCGCCGGUUGAAGAUCUGGAUGGCGCCGUCGAUGCGGCCGACGCAGGUGGCGCCGUCGGGGCUGUAGCGCGCCAGCUCGUUGGGGGCGCAGCCGACCUGGCCCACCCCGAUCAGGGCCACCUUCCGGGCGCCGUAGCUGUACAUGGCCUGGAGGUAGCGGCGGUAGUCGGCGAUGAGCGAGUCGGCGAACUGCUCCGGCGUGUAGCGGCUGCCGGUGUUGUAGAAGGCCGGCUGGAAGUAGUUGUUGAGGUAGUCGUUGCUGCCCAUGCCCACCGUGAAGAUGCACUGGCUCAGCCGCUCCGACGCCGUGUCCCGGUCGCCCAGGAUGUUCACCAGCGUCUGCACCGCCGUCUGGUAGUUCUGCACCUGCCCCGCGAACGGGAUCCGGCCGCCCUCUGCUGGCCGGUCUCGGCACGGAUCCCGGCGGCGGCGGAGGCGAAGUUGACGCCGUUGAGGAGCUGGUCGCCGCCCGUCGCCGCGUAG